RNAcentral lists this ribosomal RNA (465 nucleotides) under uncultured bacterium. Its description in RNAcentral is "bacterial SSU rRNA". It matches the Rfam family "Bacterial small subunit ribosomal RNA", at positions 338 to 795 of the family's 1533-position model. The record is from RNAcentral.
CCUACGGGUGGCAGCAGUAGGGAAUCUUCCGCAAUGGACGAAAGUCUGACGGAGCAACGCCGCGUGAGCGAAGAAGGUCUUCGGAUCGUAAAGCUCUGUUGUCGGGGAAGAACAAGUACGGUAGGCAAUGGCCGUACCUUGACGGUACCCGACGAGAAAGCCACGGCUAACUACGUGCCAGCAGCUGCGGUAAUACGUAGGUGGCAAGCGUUGUCGGGAAUUAUUGGACGUAAAGCGCGCGCAGGCGGUCCUUUAAGUCUGAGGUGAAAUCUUGCGGCGCAACCGCAAGCGGUCAUUGGAAACUGGGGGACUUGAGUGCAGAAGAGGAAAGCGGAAUUCAACGUGUAGCGGUGAAAUGCGUAGAGAUGUGGAGGAACACCAGUGGCGAAGGCGGCUUUCUGGUCUGUAACUGACGCUGAGGCGCGAAAGCGUGGGGAGCAAACAGGAUUAGAUACCCGAGUAGUC